GUUGUAUGGUUAAGUGACUAAGCGUACACGGUGGAUGCCUUGGCAGUCAGAGGCGAUGAAAGACGUAGUAACUUGCGAUAAGCCCAGAUUAGGUAGUAACAACCAUUUGAGUCUGGGAUUUCUGAAUGGGGAAACCCACGUGCAUAAGCACGUAUCCUUACCUGAAUACAUAGGGUAAGGAGGCGAACCGGGGGAACUGAAACAUCUAAGUACCCCGAGGAAAAGAAAUCAACCGAGAUUCCGAAAGUAGCGGCGAGCGAAAUUGGACUAGCCCUUAAGCUUUACACGCGUUAGACGAACGGUCUGGAAAGUCCGACGAUACAGGGUGAUAGUCCCGUAGUUGACGACGUGUGUUCAGUGAAAUCGAGUAGGGCGGGACACGUGAUAUCCUGUCUGAAUAUGGGGGGACCAUCCUCCAAGGCUAAAUACUACUGACUGACCGAUAGUGAACCAGUACCGUGAGGGAAAGGCGAAAAGAACCCCUGUGAGGGGAGUGAAAUAGAACCUGAAACCGUGUACGUACAAGCAGUAGGAGCAGGCUUUGUCCUGUGACUGCGUACCUUUUGUAUAAUGGGUCAGCGACUUAUAUUCAGUGGCAAGGUUAACCAUCUAGGGGAGCCGUAGGGAAACCGAGUCUUAACUGGGCGUUCAGUCUCUGGAUAUAGACCCGAAACCAGGUGAUCUAGCCAUGGGCAGGUUGAAGGUUGAGUAACAUCAACUGGAGGACCGAACCGACUAAUGUUGAAAAAUUAGCGGAUGACUUGUGGCUAGGGGUGAAAGGCCAAUCAAACCUGGAGAUAGCUGGUUCUCCCCGAAAGCUAUUUAGGUAGCGCCUCGGACGAAUACUACUGGGGGUAGAGCACUGUUAAGGCUAGGGGGUCAUCCCGACUUACCAACCCUUUGCAAACUCCGAAUACCAGUAAGUACUAUCCGGGAGACACACGGCGGGUGCUAACGUCCGUCGUGGAGAGGGAAACAACCCAGACCGCCAGCUAAGGUCCCAAAUUACUACUAAGUGGGAAACGAUGUGGGAAGGCUCAGACAGCCAGGAUGUUGGCUUAGAAGCAGCCAUCAUUUAAAGAAAGCGUAAUAGCUCACUGGUCGAGUCGGCCUGCGCGGAAGAUGUAACGGGGCUAAGUAGUAAACCGAAGCUGCGGCAAUGUGCUUUUGCACAUUGGGUAGGGGAGCGUUCUGUAAGCGGUUGAAGGUGUGUGGUAACGCAUGCUGGACGUAUCAGAAGUGCGAAUGCUGACAUGAGUAACGAUAAAGGGGGUGAAAAACCUCCUCGCCGGAAGACCAAGGGUUCCUGUCCAACGUUAAUCGGGGCAGGGUAAGUCGACCCCUAAGGCGAGGCCGAAAGGCGUAGUCGAUGGGAAACGGGUUAAUAUUCCCGUACUUCUUACAAUUGCGAUGGGGGGACGGAGAAGGCUAGGUGGGCCUGGCGACGGUUGUCCAGGUUCAAGUGCGUAGGCUUAAGAGUUAGGUAAAUCCGGCUCUUUUUAAGGCUGAGACACGACGUCGAGCACCUACGGGUGUGAAGUCAUUGAUGCCAUGCUUCCAGGAAAAGCCUCUAAGCUUCAGAUUGUAAGGAAUCGUACCCCAAACCGACACAGGUGGUCGGGUAGAGAAUACCAAGGCGCUUGAGAGAACUCGGGUGAAGGAACUAGGCAAAAUGGUACCGUAACUUCGGGAGAAGGUACGCUCUCGACGGUGAAGUCCCUUGCGGAUGGAGCUAUUGAGAGUCGCAGAUACCAGGUGGCUGCAACUGUUUAUUAAAAACACAGCACUGUGCAAAAUCGUAAGAUGACGUAUACGGUGUGACGCCUGCCCGGUGCCGGAAGGUUAAUUGAUGGGGUUAGACUUCGGUCGAAGCUCUUGAUCGAAGCCCCGGUAAACGGCGGCCGUAACUAUAACGGUCCUAAGGUAGCGAAAUUCCUUGUCGGGUAAGUUCCGACCUGCACGAAUGGCGUAAUGAUGGCCACGCUGUCUCCACCCGAGACUCAGUGAAAUUGAAAUCGCUGUGAAGAUGCAGUGUACCCGCGGCUAGACGGAAAGACCCCGUGAACCUUUACUACAGCUUGGCACUGAACAUUGACCCUACAUGUGUAGGAUAGGUGGGAGGCUUUGAAGCACGUACGCCAGUAUGUGUGGAGCCGUCCUUGAAAUACCACCCUUGUAGUGUUGAUGUUCUAACGUCGACCCCUUAUCGGGGUUGCGGACAGUGCCUGGUGGGUAGUUUGACUGGGGCGGUCUCCUCCCAAAGAGUAACGGAGGAGCACGAAGGUGGGCUAAUCACGGUUGGACAUCGUGAGGUUAGUGCAAUGGCAUAAGCCCGCUUGACUGCGAGAAUGACAAUUCGAGCAGGUGCGAAAGCAGGUCAUAGUGAUCCGGUGGUUCUGAAUGGAAGGGCCAUCGCUCAACGGAUAAAAGGUACUCCGGGGAUAACAGGCUGAUACCGCCCAAGAGUUCAUAUCGACGGCGGUGUUUGGCACCUCGAUGUCGGCUCAUCACAUCCUGGGGCUGAAGUCGGUCCCAAGGGUAUGGCUGUUCGCCAUUUAAAGUGGUACGCGAGCUGGGUUUAGAACGUCGUGAGACAGUUCGGUCCCUAUCUGCCGUGGGCGUUGGAAGAUUGAAGGGGGCUGCUCCUAGUACGAGAGGACCGGAGUGGACGAACCUCUGGUGUUCGGGUUGUGUCGCCAGACGCAUUGCCCGGUAGCUAAGUUCGGAAUCGAUAACCGCUGAAAGCAUCUAAGCGGGAAGCGAGCCCUGAGAUGAGUCUUCCCUGAUACUUUAAGUAUCCUAAAGGGUUGUCGGAGACUACGACGUUGAUAGGUCAGGUGUGUAAGUGCUGUGAGGCAUUGAGCUAACUGAUACUAAUUGCCCGUGAGGCUUAACCAUACAACACCCAAGGGGUUU
Molecule: ribosomal RNA, 2916 nt
Filed under: Vibrio parahaemolyticus
Lineage: Bacteria; Pseudomonadati; Pseudomonadota; Gammaproteobacteria; Vibrionales; Vibrionaceae
Description: 23S ribosomal RNA
Rfam family: Bacterial large subunit ribosomal RNA
Source: RNAcentral